This 253-nucleotide ribosomal RNA is filed under the name uncultured bacterium. RNAcentral's name for it is "partial 16S ribosomal RNA". It matches the Rfam family "Bacterial small subunit ribosomal RNA", at positions 524 to 776 of the family's 1533-position model. The record is from RNAcentral.
UACGUAGGUGGCAAGCGAUACUCGGAAUCACUAGGCGUAAAGCGCAGGUAGGCGGUUCGGUAAGUCUUUUGUGAAAGCUCCCGGCUCAACUGGGAGAGGCCAAGGGAAACUACCGGACUAGAGUGUGGCAGAGGAAGCUGGAAUUCCUGGUGUAGCGGUGAAAUGCGCAGAUAUCAGGAGGAACACCGGUGGCGAAGGCGGGUCUCUGGGCCGAUACUGACGCUGAGGAGCGAAAGCGUGGGGAGCGAACAGG